GAUGAAGAACGCAGCGAAAUGCGAUAAGUAGUGUGAAUUGCAGAAUUCAGUGAAUCAUCGAAUCUUUGAACGCACAUUGCGCCCCUUGGUAUUCCAUGGGGCAUGCCUGUUCGAGCGUCAUUUGUACCCUCAAGCACUGCUUGGUGUUGGGUGUUUGUCCCGCUUUGCGCGUGGACUCGCCUUAAAGCAAUUGGCAGCCGGCAGAUUGGCCUGGAUCGCGAGCACAUUUUGCGACCUUGUCAUAACUGUUUGGCACCCAUCAAGACUAUUUUUUGCUCUUGACCUCGGAUCAGGUAGGGAUACCCGCUGAACUUAAGCAUAACAAUAAGCGGAGGA
This 336-nucleotide unclassified non-coding RNA is filed under the name soil metagenome. RNAcentral's name for it is "partial contains 5.8S ribosomal RNA, internal transcribed spacer 2, and large subunit ribosomal RNA". The stretch from base 1 to 120 matches the Rfam family "5.8S ribosomal RNA", at positions 35 to 154 of the family's 154-position model. The record is from RNAcentral.